RNAcentral lists this ribosomal RNA (1228 nucleotides) under Staphylococcus aureus. RNAcentral's name for it is "partial 23S ribosomal RNA". It matches the Rfam family "Bacterial large subunit ribosomal RNA", at positions 12 to 1241 of the family's 2925-position model. Lineage: Bacteria; Bacillati; Bacillota; Bacilli; Caryophanales; Staphylococcaceae. The record is from RNAcentral.
UAAGGGCGCACGGUGGAUGCCUUGGCACUAGAAGCCGAUGAAGGACGUUACUAACGACGAUAUGCUUUGGGGAGCUGUAAGUAAGCUUUGAUCCAGAGAUUUCCGAAUGGGGAAACCCAGCAUGAGUUAUGUCAUGUUAUCGAUAUGUGAAUACAUAGCAUAUCAGAAGGCACACCCGGAGAACUGAAACAUCUUAGUACCCGGAGGAAGAGAAAGAAAAUUCGAUUCCCUUAGUAGCGGCGAGCGAAACGGGAAGAGCCCAAACCAACAAGCUUGCUUGUUGGGGUUGUAGGACACUCUAUACGGAGUUACAAAGGACGACAUUAGACGAAUCAUCUGGAAAGAUGAAUCAAAGAAGGUAAUAAUCCUGUAGUCGAAAAUGUUGUCUCUCUUGAGUGGAUCCUGAGUACGACGGAGCACGUGAAAUUCCGUCGGAAUCUGGGAGGACCAUCUCCUAAGGCUAAAUACUCUCUAGUGACCGAUAGUGAACCAGUACCGUGAGGGAAAGGUGAAAAGCACCCCGGAAGGGGAGUGAAAUAGAACCUGAAACCGUGUGCUUACAAGUAGUCAGAGCCCGUUAAUGGGUGAUGGCGUGCCUUUUGUAGAAUGAACCGGCGAGUUACGAUUUGAUGCAAGGUUAAGCAGUAAAUGUGGAGCCGUAGCGAAAGCGAGUCUGAAUAGGGCGUUUAGUAUUUGGUCGUAGACCCGAAACCAGGUGAUCUACCCUUGGUCAGGUUGAAGUUCAGGUAACACUGAAUGGAGGACCGAACCGACUUACGUUGAAAAGUGAGCGGAUGAACUGAGGGUAGCGGAGAAAUUCCAAUCGAACCUGGAGAUAGCUGGUUCUCUCCGAAAUAGCUUUAGGGCUAGCCUCAAGUGAUGAUUAUUGGAGGUAGAGCACUGUUUGGACGAGGGGCCCCUCUCGGGUUACCGAAUUCAGACAAACUCCGAAUGCCAAUUAAUUUAACUUGGGAGUCAGAACAUGGGUGAUAAGGUCCGUGUUCGAAAGGGAAACAGCCCAGACCACCAGCUAAGGUCCCAAAAUAUAUGUUAAGUGGAAAAGGAUGUGGCGUUGCCCAGACAACUAGGAUGUUGGCUUAGAAGCAGCCAUCAUUUAAAGAGUGCGUAAUAGCUCACUAGUCGAGUGACACUGCGCCGAAAAUGUACCGGGGCUAAACAUAUUACCGAAGCUGUGGAUUGUCCUUUGGACAAUGGUAGGAGAGCGUUC